CUACUAAUGUCUUAAUUCCUCCAAGCUGCUCAUACCAACUUCCAAACCAACUACCUAGGUUAUACCCAUUCCAGACCUGAGUAGGUACAUGCACAAAUUUAACCAUGUGGCUUGUAAGUUCAGCCACUGUCUGCCCUUCAUCAUCUAUGUGCAGACAACAGUUACUUAGAUUAAACUUUCCGCAUACACCUCCUUCUACUGCUAGUAAGUAAUCAAGGGCUAACCUAUUCUGGUAUAUGGCUGAUCACAUCUUGGUAUUUUGCUUAGCUAGAAGAUUAAGCGCUUGAGCUGUCUCAUUAGUAAUAAUCUCAACUACCGCCUGUAG
This is a non-coding RNA of Pelobates cultripes (western spadefoot toad), 325 nucleotides long. The record is from the annotation of a GenBank genome assembly. Lineage: Eukaryota; Metazoa; Chordata; Amphibia; Anura; Pelobatidae.